RNAcentral lists this ribosomal RNA (448 nucleotides) under uncultured bacterium. RNAcentral's name for it is "partial 16S ribosomal RNA". It matches the Rfam family "Bacterial small subunit ribosomal RNA", at positions 329 to 792 of the family's 1533-position model. The record is from RNAcentral.
GACCAGACUCCUACGGGAGGCAGCAGUGGGGGAUAUUGCACAAUGGGGGAAACCCUGAUGCAGCGACGCCGCGUGGGCGAAGAAGUAUUUCGGUAUGUAAAGCCCUCUCAGCAGGGAAGAAGAAAUGACGGUACCUGAGUAAGAAGCACCGGCUAAAUACGUGCCAGCAGCCGCGGUAAUACGUAUGGUGCAAGCGUUAUCCGGAUUUACUGGGUGUAAAGGGAGCGCAGGCGGCACGGCAAGCCUGAUGUGAAAACCCGGGGCUCAACCCCGGGACUGCAUUGGAAACUGUCAGGCUAGAGUGUCGGAGAGGCAAGUGGAAUUCCUAGUGUAGCGGUGAAAUGCGUAGAUAUUAGGAGGAACACCAGUGGCGAAGGCGGCUUGCUGGACGAUGACUGACGUUGAGGCUCGAAAGCGUGGGGAGCAAACAGGAUUAGAUACCCCCGUA